Nannospalax galili (Upper Galilee mountains blind mole rat) is the source of this 128-nucleotide small nucleolar RNA. The record is from Ensembl. Lineage: Eukaryota; Metazoa; Chordata; Mammalia; Rodentia; Spalacidae.
GCCCUUUGUGUGUGCUUUUAUUCAACUGGUGGAGAAAAUCAUGAAAGAUAGAUGCAAAAAUAAAUUCUCCUUUGCAACCUAGAACUCAUUGUUCAUUAUGAGUUUUGACACAUAUAAGAAGUAAUAUG